RNAcentral lists this ribosomal RNA (497 nucleotides) under uncultured bacterium. Its description in RNAcentral is "partial 16S ribosomal RNA". It matches the Rfam family "Bacterial small subunit ribosomal RNA", at positions 28 to 507 of the family's 1533-position model. The record is from RNAcentral.
GAUGAACGCUGGCGGCGUGCCUAAUACAUGCAAGUCGAGCGAACAGACGAGGAGCUUGCUCCUCUGACGUUAGCGGCGGACGGGUGAGUAACACGUGGAUAACCUACCUAUAAGACUGGGAUAACUUCGGGAAACCGGAGCUAAUACCGGAUAAUAUAUUGAACCGCAUGGUUCAAUAGUGAAAGACGGUUUUGCUGUCACUUAUAGAUGGAUCCGCGCCGCAUUAGCUAGUUGGUAAGGUAACGGCUUACCAAGGCAACGAUGCGUAGCCGACCUGAGAGGGUGAUUCGCCAACCUGGAACUGGGACACGGUCCCGGAUCCUAAGGGAGGGCGCAGGAGGGAAUCCUACGCAAUGGGGGAAAGCCUGACGGAGCAACGCCGCGUGAGUGAUGAAGGUCUUCGGAUUGUAAAACCCUUUUAUUAGGGAAGAACAAAUGUGUAAGUAACUAUGCACGUCUUGACGGUACCUAAUCAGAAAGCCACGGCUAACUACGUG